CAAAAAUAAAUAUACGUACUAUUGAAGCUUGAAAAGAGGCACCAAUUCUCUUCAUUAUAAGCAGCACCUCAAAGAAAAAGCCUAGGAGGGGCAGACAGACCUUGCGCAGUGCUAAGUGAAGGAUUCCCUGGAUUACCAGCAGAUUCAGCCCUAGACUGUACUACCACCACACCCGUCAUCACACAGGGUUAUUUCCUCCAGCUCUCCAGGAUAAUGGACAAGACAAAAAUCACAUGUUAAGGGGGAGCCCUGGACCUGCUGGAGCUGGACUCGAGCAACCAUAUAGAAUGAUUCACAGAUAAAGAACUUUCAGAACAAGACUCAUCAAGGACUCAGAGGAUUUCCUUUAGGAUUAUAGAAAAACCUAUGAAGACAUAACCAGGAUAUAGAAGCAUACUUCCAUUUUGCCACAUUUCAAGGGCUCAAUAGCCACCUGUUGCCAUUAGACAGCUCAGGUCUAGAACAAUGACUGACACCUGGCUUGUAAUGUCUGAGGGAAAUUCAUAAGAAACAAAAGAUUGGGUGACUUCUCUUUCAAUGCAAAUGUGAGUAGCCAUGGUGGUAUUUCCUUGGAUCUUCCUUCAAGAGAGCCUGCUGCAAGCUUCUCUCCUGCUCCCAUGUGUUUAGGGUCCACUGUAGAGUCCACCCUCUCCCCAGAUGACUGCCAGCCAAUGACUUGUACAUUGGGGGCACCUAGGCUUGGCAAUCACUACCCAAUGUGGAAGUCCUCUAACAGCAACCUCUGCUAGGCUGGCCAAGACACCCUUGGACUAGCACCUCCAUCAGAACCUCUUUCUACCCAAUCCUGUCCUCUCACAGCAUUCAGACCUAGCUUGCCUUCCGAAGCAAUCACUUCUGCCCCCUCUCCUCUUAGCCAUGCAGAAGCAUUAUCUCCAAUAAAUCUUUGUAUUCCUACCUCCAACUUGACAUCUGCUUCCCAAAGAACGUGAACUGACACA
This is a long non-coding RNA of Suricata suricatta (meerkat), 959 nucleotides long. RefSeq lists it as uncharacterized. The record is from RefSeq and is a predicted model, not a curated record. NCBI's taxonomy places the organism in Eukaryota, Metazoa, Chordata, Mammalia, Carnivora, Herpestidae. The transcript has 8 exons.